AGACGUCUACAUUAGAUACCCGCGUAGUCCAGGGUGUAAACGCUGCAGACUUGGUGUUGGAAGCCCUUUGGGGGCAUUCAGUGCCAGAGAGAAGUUGUUAAGUCUGCUACUUGGGAGUACGUCCGCAAGGAUGAAACUUAAAGGAAUUGGCGGGGAGCACCGCAACGGGAGGAGCGUGCGGUUUAAUUGGAUUCAACACCGUAAAACUCACCAGGGAAGACUGUUACAUGAAGGCCGAGAUGAAGACUCUGCUAGAUUUUCAG
Molecule: ribosomal RNA, 263 nt
Filed under: uncultured archaeon
Lineage: Archaea
Description: partial 16S ribosomal RNA
Rfam family: Archaeal small subunit ribosomal RNA
Source: RNAcentral